This 1102-nucleotide ribosomal RNA is filed under the name Trematosphaeria sp. Its description in RNAcentral is "partial large subunit ribosomal RNA". It matches the Rfam family "Eukaryotic large subunit ribosomal RNA", at positions 86 to 1209 of the family's 3401-position model. The record is from RNAcentral. Lineage: Eukaryota; Fungi; Ascomycota; Dothideomycetes; Pleosporales; Trematosphaeriaceae.
ACGGCGAGUGAAGCGGCAACAGCUCAAAUUUGAAAUCUGACUCCUUUGGGGUCCGAGUUGUAAUUUGCAGAGGGUGCUUUGGCGUUGGCUGUGGUCUAAGUUCCUUGGAACAGGACGUCACAGAGGGUGAGAAUCCCGUACGUGGCCGCCAGCCUCCGCCGUGUAAAGCCCCUUCGACGAGUCGAGUUGUUUGGGAAUGCAGCUCUAAAUGGGAGGUAAAUUUCUUCUAAAGCUAAAUAUCUGCCAGAGACCGAUAGCGCACAAGUAGAGUGAUCGAAAGAUGAAAAGCACUUUGGAAAGAGAGUCAAAAAGCACGUGAAAUUGUUGAAAGGGAAGCGCUUGCAGCUAGACGUGCCUCUGGAUGAUCAGCCGGGCUUCUGCCCGGUGCACUCUUCCUCUGGCAGGCCAGCAUCAGUUUGGGCGGCUGGAUAAAGGUCUGUUAAACGUGACUCCCCUCGGGGAGAGCUUAUAGGGCAGACGACAUGCAGCCAGCCCGGACUGAGGUCCGCGCAUCUGCUAGGAUGCUGGCGUAAUAGCUGUAAGCGGCCCGUCUUGAAACACGGACCAAGGAGUCUAACAUCUAUGCGAGUGUUUGGGUGUCAAGCCCGAGCGCGCAAUGAAAGUGAACGGAGGUGGGAACCCUUUGGGUGCACCAUCGACCGAUCCCGACGUCUUCUGAUGGAUUUGAGUAAGAGCAUAGCUGUUGGGACCCGAAAGAUGGUGAACUAUGCCUGAAUAGGGUGAAGCCAGAGGAAACUCUGGUGGAGGCUCGCAGCGGUUCUGACGUGCAAAUCGAUCGUCAAAUUUGGGCAUAGGGGCGAAAGACUAAUCGAACUAUCUAGUAGCUGGUUCCUGCCGAAGUUUCCCUCAGGAUAGCAGUAACGUUUUCAGUUUUAUGAGGUAAAGCGAAUGAUUAGAGGCCUGGGGGUUGAAACAACCUUCACCUAUUCUCAAACUUUAAAUAUGUAAGAAGUCCUUGUUACUUAGCUGAACGUGGACAUUUGAAUGUAUCGUUACUAGUGGGCCAUUUUUGGUAAGCAGAACUGGCGAUGCGGGAUGAACCGAACGUNGGGUUAAGGUGCCAGAAUGCACGCUCAUCAGA